This 1015-nucleotide ribosomal RNA is filed under the name uncultured Sulfurospirillum sp. Its description in RNAcentral is "bacterial SSU rRNA". It matches the Rfam family "Bacterial small subunit ribosomal RNA", at positions 272 to 1317 of the family's 1533-position model. Lineage: Bacteria; Pseudomonadati; Campylobacterota; Epsilonproteobacteria; Campylobacterales; Sulfurospirillaceae. The record is from RNAcentral.
GGCGACGUGCUAUAGGAAUCGUUGGUGUUGGGGUCGAUCUAGAGGUGAUCCCUAUGGAUCCUACGGGAGGAGCAGUGGGGAAAAGCACAAUGGAGGAAACUCUGAUGCAGCAACGCCGCGUGGAGGAUGACGCAUUUCGGUGUGUAAACUCCUUUUAUAGGGGAAGAUAAUGACGGUACCCUAUGAAUAAGCACCGGCUAACUCCGUGCCAGCAGCCGCGGUAAUACGGAGGGUGCAAGCCAGUUACUCGGAAUCACUGGGCGUAAAGGAUGCGUAGGCUGGAAAUCAAGUCGAAAGUGAAAUCCAACGGCUCAACCGUUGAACUGCUUUCGAAACUGGUUACCUAGAAUAUGGGAGAGGUAGAUGGAAUUAGUGGUGUAGGGGUAAAAUCCGUAGAUAUCACUAGGAAUACCGAUUGCGAAGGCGAUCUACUGGAACAUUAUUGACGCUGAGGCAUGAAAGCGUGGGGAGCAAACAGGAUUAGAUACCCUGGUAGUCCACGCCCUAAACGAUGCACACUAGUUGUUGCGAUGCUAGUCAUUGCAGUAAUGCACUUAACAGAUUAAGUGUGCCGCCUGGGGAGUACGGUCGCAAGAUUAAAACUCAAAGGAAUAGACGGGGACCCGCACAAGCGGUGGAGCAUGUGGUUUAAUUCGAAGAUACACGAAGAACCUUACCUGGGCUUGAUAUCCUAAGAAUCCUGUAGAGAUACGGGAGUGCUAGUUUACUAGAACUUAGAGACAGGUGCUGCACGGCUGUCGUCAGCUCGUGUCGCGAGAUGUUGGGUUAAGUCCCGCAACGAGCGCAACCCUCGUGAUUAGUUGCUAACAGUUCGGCUGAGCACUCUAAUCAGACUGCCUUCGUAAGGAGGAGGAAGGUGAGGACGACGUCAAGUCAUCAUGGCCCUUAUGCCAGGCUACACACGUGCUACAAUGGCUAGGACAAGAGACGCGAUACUGCGAAGUGGAGCAAAUCUAAACCUAGUCUCAGUUCGGAUUGAGUCUGCACAUCGGAU